GACGUAGGAGACGAGCGUUGUCCGGAUUUACUGGGCGUAAAGCGCGCGCAGGCGGCCCCCGCAGGUCGGUUGUGAAAGCCCCCGGCUCAACCGGGCGGAGGCGAGCGAAACCGCGGGGCUGGAGGCUGGCAGAGGGUGGUGGAAUUCCCGGUGUAGUGGUGAAAUGCGUAGAGAUCGGGAGGAACACCCGCGGCGAAAGCACUCUGCUGGGCCGACACUGACACUGAGAGACGAAAGCUAGGGGAGCAAACGGG
This 254-nucleotide ribosomal RNA is filed under the name uncultured bacterium. Its description in RNAcentral is "partial 16S ribosomal RNA". It matches the Rfam family "Bacterial small subunit ribosomal RNA", at positions 524 to 776 of the family's 1533-position model. The record is from RNAcentral.